RNAcentral lists this ribosomal RNA (491 nucleotides) under uncultured Arthrobacter sp. RNAcentral describes it as "partial 16S ribosomal RNA". The record is from RNAcentral. Lineage: Bacteria; Bacillati; Actinomycetota; Actinomycetes; Micrococcales; Micrococcaceae.
CACGUAGUUAGCCGGCGCUUCUUCUGCAGGUACCGUCACUUUCGCUUCUUCCCUGCUGAAAGAGGUUUACAACCCGAAGGCCGUCAUCCCUCACGCGGCGUCGCUGCAUCAGGCUUUCGCCCAUUGUGCAAUAUUCCCCACUGCUGCCUCCCGUAGGAGUCUGGGCCGUGUCUCAGUCCCAGUGUGGCCGGUCACCCUCUCAGGCCGGCUACCCGUCGUCGCCUUGGUGGGCCAUUACCCCAACCAACAAGCUGAUAGGCCGCGAGUCCAUCCAAAACCGCAUAAAGCUUUCCACCACCAUGGCAUGCGCCAGGUGGUCGUAUCCGGUAUUAGACCCGGUUUCCCAGGCUUAUCCCGAAGUUAAGGGCAGGUUACUCACGUGUUACUCACCCGUUCGCCACUAAUCAUUCUGUGCAAGCACAGAAGUCAUCGUUCGACUUGCAUGUGUUAAGCACGCCGCCAGCGUUCAUCCUGAGCCAGGAUCAAACUCU